UCGGGAACGGGUGCUAAGACCAACUUUAAUGAGAUCCGUGUUUGAGACAUUCCAUAUCUCUCAGUCGACACGAUCUGCUUGGUCUAUCCGAUAUGUGAAUCCCGAUGAUGGCGGAAGCUUGAUUCGGGUCAACCUCUUAAUCUCUUCUUGCAAUAGAUCGAGGGUCGAUCUGCAAUGGAGCAUAUCAGGGUUUCAGUCUCUCUCUUUGACUAGCUCAUUGAUACUAUCGGAUUCUCAACUCACUUUGGUAAUUCCCAAGGGCAAACCUAGAUAUGUAUUUGAUGUCGGCGUAUCAAGAAUCUCUCUCCUGGCACCUACG
Non-coding RNA from Camelina sativa (false flax), 319 nucleotides. Lineage: Eukaryota; Viridiplantae; Streptophyta; Magnoliopsida; Brassicales; Brassicaceae. The record is from RefSeq and is a predicted model, not a curated record.